CUGGGCUGGUGCCGGGGGCUGGGGUGUGAGCUCAGAAAUGAGGGGUUCAGGAUGCAGAAGGGGGCUCUGGGCGGGUGCAGAGGGUUCGGGUGUGGGAGGUGGGGUGAGCUCAGAAAUGAGGGGUUCAGGAUGCAGGAGGGGGCUCUGGGCUGGUGCAGGGGGUUGUGGGGUGGGCUCAGAAAUGAGGGGUUCAGGAUGCAGAAGGGGGCUCUGGGCUGGUGCAGGGGGCUGGGGUGUGGUGGGGUGAGCUCAGAAAUGAGGGGUUCAGGAUGCAGAAGGGGGCUCUGGGCUGGUGCAGGGGGUUGUGGUGUGGGAGGUGGGGUGAGCUCAGAAAUGAGGGGUUCAGGAUGCAGAAGG
Long non-coding RNA from Gopherus flavomarginatus (Mexican gopher tortoise), 357 nucleotides. RefSeq lists it as uncharacterized. Lineage: Eukaryota; Metazoa; Chordata; Testudines; Testudinidae. The transcript has 3 exons. The record is from RefSeq and is a predicted model, not a curated record.